AUAUCUCAAUCCACACUAGGAUGUUGUGGCUUGGACUUGGGGGUCGUGCCGGCUCUGACUUUUGUGGUCUGCUCCCCUGAAAUGCAUGAGUGGUGCUGACCUCUCAUUGGAUGUGAUAGCUCGUCUGCAUCUGGUGAAAUGGGGGGGGGGGUGACGCUGCUACACUAGGGCUUUUUUUUUUUUUGACAA
RNAcentral lists this unclassified non-coding RNA (189 nucleotides) under uncultured Cortinariaceae. RNAcentral describes it as "sequence contains ITS2". Lineage: Eukaryota; Fungi; Basidiomycota; Agaricomycetes; Agaricales; Cortinariaceae. The record is from RNAcentral.